UAUCUCCUCUCUUUUUUCUUUUUUUUUUUCUUUUUAUUUGCGUGUCCAAUUCAAAUAUAAUCUUGUGUUCAUGGGUUGAUGGGCUUUUCUUAAUAAUUAAAGAAUAAACUGAUAAAUAUCUACGAGGGGAUGCUUGUGUGGGUCAAAUAUUACAAGCUCAGCUUCUGGGAUUCUUCCAGAUCUUUCUGGGGGUUUAAAUUUGUGGGCUUGAAUUACAUACCUUUGUUUUCCUCAUAAAAAGGUCUCCCUUCUUGAAAUUUUUUGUCGAAACUGUCUUCUUGAAUUUAUAUUUAUAUUUUGUGGUGCUCUGCUAUUUAGAGAUUCUGAGUUAAUUAUCUGUUUUAUUCAUUUGGUAAGAACUACUCUAGACUUUGUUUGUUUAUUUUCUUUAGUUGCAAUCUCCAAAAUUGUUUUCUUCUUGAAAUGAAAAUUCAUGCUAC
Molecule: unclassified non-coding RNA, 440 nt
Filed under: Hevea brasiliensis (rubber tree)
Lineage: Eukaryota; Viridiplantae; Streptophyta; Magnoliopsida; Malpighiales; Euphorbiaceae
Source: RNAcentral